UGACCCCCAGAGGCAGCGCUCGGCCUGUUCUACUGAUGAAGAUGUUGAGACCAGGGAGGUUGAGUCAGUCACCCAAAGCCCCCUGAGCCACGAUGUCCAGUCUUCUGAGCACUGGGACCCCAUGGAGGAAGAGGCUGGAGCGGGCCCCUCCCACGCCCGCUGGCCUCGCCCCUGACCCCAGUCUGACUGCCGCAGCUGCUCCUUGGAAGCUCCAGGAAGUCCCCGCGACUGCAUCACGUUGCAGACCCCAAAGGGCUCACCACGGCUGGGUUCAGUUUCUCCUCUCUCUAUGUGUCAUGAAUACAAGGCUGCUGGGUGAGUCUGGGGGAUGCCCCAUACUGCCACAAACCACAGCACGUGCACACAAAUGGUCCCCAUGUUAGCCCGUGUCUCUGGCUGCCUCGAAGCCGCAGUUCUGCAGGUUCGAGGCCAUGGCUGGGCUCUGACGAAGGCCCCAGGGAGGACGGCAUCGUGGCAAUGGGGGCUGUUCAAUGAGCCGAGCUCACCUGGAGGUCAGGGCCCAGGCUGUGCUGCGGCUUGGAUGUUAGUUUUGAUGUUGGAUGUUCUCCAAAGAGUCAUGUGGCAAAGGUUUGGAUCCCGGCGUUUUACGUGAUCCGAUUUGAAGCAUUGCCUUGAGGAAGUGAUGAGGUUGGAGUAGGCAGUUAGGGUGAGCCCGUGGCCGGCUGCCCUACGGUGGCUUUAUAAAGAGAGCCAUAGGAACCAGCUACCAUCUGUAGCUCUGGCACCCCAUAUGGGCGCCGGUUCAAGUCCCAGCCGCUCCACUUCUGAUCCAGCUUCCUGCUAUGGCCUGGGAAAGCGUCGGAGGAUGGCCCAGGUGCUUGGGCCCCUGCACCCACGUGGGAGACCCAGAAGAAGCUCCUGGCUUCGGCCUGGCCUAGCCCUAGCUGUUGCAGCCAUCUGGGGAAUGAACCAACAGAUGGAAAAUCUCUUUCUCUCUCUCUCCCUCUUUCUCUAACUCUGCCUUUCAAACACAUUUUAGAAAUAUUAAAAAAAAAAAUGAGAGCCACACACACCCUCGGGCUGCUCCCGUAAACCGCUACGUUCUCGCUGCUCUUGCUCUUGGGCCUGCCUGCAGCGGGGCUCUGCCUCCUCUCCCACUCCCACUCCCACUCCCACUCCCACUGCUGAGCUAUUAUCUCUAGAAGCAUCUAGAGCUUCCUCUGGCCAGUGAAAAACCCGCCUGAUACAACUUCUGGGCGACCGAGCUGUCAGUGAUUGUGCUGUGAGAUGAGCUUGGUGACAAGGGAAUUUGCCACCACGGAGGAAGCGCGGCUGAGCCCCGGCCAAGCUGGGGCGGGGGAGGGAGACGGGGGGGGGGGGGGAGGGUGGUGGGGGGAGGGAGAAGGCCCCUAGGGACUCAGA
Molecule: long non-coding RNA, 1383 nt
Filed under: Oryctolagus cuniculus (rabbit)
Lineage: Eukaryota; Metazoa; Chordata; Mammalia; Lagomorpha; Leporidae
Description: lncRNA (ENSOCUG00000035438.1)
Source: RNAcentral